This is a long non-coding RNA of Syngnathoides biaculeatus (alligator pipefish), 336 nucleotides long. RefSeq lists it as uncharacterized. Lineage: Eukaryota; Metazoa; Chordata; Actinopteri; Syngnathiformes; Syngnathidae. The transcript is spliced from 3 exons. The record is from RefSeq and is a predicted model, not a curated record.
GACGACCACGAGCAUCCGGACAAAACAGAUGAGAGCGGAGCGGACGCCACGCGUCUGGCGAAGUCUCCAUCACGCCAAUCGCCGGACAGCGAGAAAGGAGCGCUCGCACCUUUGGACAAUUUGGAGUCUUCGAUGAAAAGAACGUGAAAGCAGGAGGAAGCAGGCGCAUCACCUGUUUGACACCUGUUUCGUGCACAAAUGGCAAGAAAAACUGGUCCCGAGACGGGAAAAACCCGAAGCGCAGGGGAAACCGCAGUGAUCCAGCACCGAGACCCGACGCGGAUAGCAACAUUUUCCAAGGCUGGAGGCCCCGCGUGAAAAUGCUCAUAUACGUUG